GGGUCAGUAGGUUGGUCGUGCCACUGGUAUGCACUGGCCUUACUGAUUCCUCCUUCUUGAAGAACUGUGAUGUCAUUUACUUGGUGUUGCAGGGAAACAGGACUGUUACUUUGAAAAAAUUAGAGUGUUUAAAGCAGGCAUUCGCUUGAAUACAUUAGCAUGGAAUAAUAAAAUAGGACUUUGGUUCUAUUUUGUUGGUUUCUAGGACCGAAGUA
Molecule: ribosomal RNA, 215 nt
Filed under: uncultured fungus
Lineage: Eukaryota; Fungi
Description: partial small subunit ribosomal RNA
Rfam family: Eukaryotic small subunit ribosomal RNA (bases 40-215)
Source: RNAcentral